Non-coding RNA from Schizosaccharomyces pombe (fission yeast), 256 nucleotides. The record is from the annotation of a GenBank genome assembly. NCBI's taxonomy places the organism in Eukaryota, Fungi, Ascomycota, Schizosaccharomycetes, Schizosaccharomycetales, Schizosaccharomycetaceae.
CAGUUCUUUGACCAUAUCUUCAGGUACCAAAGUCUCUCUUUCAUUAACAUAAAUUAGGUCAAGAGAAAUCUUUCCUGUUGCAGGAUCAGUUGCAUAAUCCUUAAUAGCGGUCUUAAUCAAGCGAGCAGCUUCAAGAACAUCUCCUACCUCAACAACGUUGCGAAGAUGCAUUUUCGCAUGGGCCUCAGAUAGACGAAUCAUUGAUUCCAGUUGUCUUGUUGUAGCAGUAAUUCUUUUCUCAGAUGCUCGCACAUCC